AACGAACGCUGGCGGCAGGCCUAACACAUGCAAGUCGAGCGGACCCUUCGGGGUUAGCGGCGGACGGGUGAGUAACGCGUGGGAAUAUGCCCUUCUCUACGGAAUAGUCCUGGGAAACUGGGGGUAAUACCGUAUACGCCCUUUGGGGGAAAGAUUUAUCGGGGAAGGAUUAGCCCGCGUUGGAUUAGGUAGUUGGUGGGGUAAUGGCCUACCAAGCCGACGAUCCAUAGCUGGGUUGAGAGGAUGAUCAGCCACACUGGGACUGAGACACGGCCCAGACUCCUACGGGAGGCAGCAGUGGGGAAUCUUAGACAAUGGGGGCAACCCUGAUCUAGCCAUGCCGCGUGAGUGAUGAAGGCCUUAGGGUUGUAAAGCUCUUUCAGCUGGGAAGAUAAUGACGGUACCAGCAGAAGAAGCCCCGGCUAACUCCGUG
This 433-nucleotide ribosomal RNA is filed under the name uncultured bacterium. Its description in RNAcentral is "partial 16S ribosomal RNA". It matches the Rfam family "Bacterial small subunit ribosomal RNA", at positions 29 to 507 of the family's 1533-position model. The record is from RNAcentral.